ACCGUUCUUUCCUGUUUUACCAGCAUACAGCAAACUUCAAAAUGGCUGUAGUGUAUGAUAAGUGCCUUGCAAUUAAUUUUUCUAGAAGAAUGAUGACUAUAUUAAUUUUGAAGAAAAAUCCAGAAGAACACCUCAAAUGUGAUAGUUAUGGUCCCUAAAUACAAAUCAGCUGGAUCUCAGCUAAAAUACCAGGCAAGAUGUUAUGAUGUGAAUCAUCACGUUUGCGAUAUGAAUGGCAGUGUCCCUUAGCACAAAACACCUGUACGAAUCAAAGGAAACAAAUCAUGAUAAACCGUCAUCAGCCAAGAAGAGGAACAUCUGUGACUCCAGAAUGACCUGAAUGCUAGAUGCACCAAUAACAGUUUGGUCAAAACCUUCACCUCUAAUUAAAACAUAAGUUAAUCGUAUUCAUUGAAGAAGUUUCUUUCGCAAAUGGAAUACAUUUCUGGCAACAUUG
This is a long non-coding RNA of Leptinotarsa decemlineata (Colorado potato beetle), 457 nucleotides long. NCBI's taxonomy places the organism in Eukaryota, Metazoa, Arthropoda, Insecta, Coleoptera, Chrysomelidae. The record is from RefSeq and is a predicted model, not a curated record.